Molecule: ribosomal RNA, 253 nt
Filed under: uncultured bacterium
Lineage: Bacteria
Description: partial 16S ribosomal RNA
Rfam family: Bacterial small subunit ribosomal RNA
Source: RNAcentral
UACGAGAGGCGCAAACGUUAUUCGGAAUUACUGGGCUUAAAGAGUUCGUAGGCGGCGCAGAAAGUAGGGUGUGAAAGCCCUCGGCUCAACCGAGGAAUUGCGCUCUAAACUACUGUGCUUGAGGGACCUAGAGGUGAGCGGAACUGAUGGUGGAGCGGUGAAAUGCGUAGAUAUCAUUUGGAACGCCAAUGGUGAAAACAGGUAACUGGGAGUGUGCUGACGCUGAGACACGAAAGCCAGGGGAGCGAACGGG